GGGUAACCUGCCUGUAAGACUGGGAUAACUCCGGGAAACCGGGGCUAAUACCGGAUGCUUGAUUGAACCGCAUGGUUCAAUCAUAAAAGGUGGCUUUUAGCUACCACUUACAGAUGGACCCGCGGCGCAUUAGCUAGUUGGUGAGGUAACGGCUCACCAAGGCGACGAUGCGUAGCCGACCUGAGAGGGUGAUCGGCCACACUGGGACUGAGACACGGCCCAGACUCCUACGGGAGGCAGCAGUAGGGAAUCUUCCGCAAUGGACGAAAGUCUGACGGAGCAACGCCGCGUGAGUGAUGAAGGUUUUCGGAUCGUAAAACUCUGUUGUUAGGGAAGAACAAGUACCGUUCGAAUAGGGCGGCACCUUGACGGUACCUAACCAGAAAGCCACGGCUAACUACGUGCCAGCAGCCGCGGUAAUACGUAGGUGGCAAGCGUUGUCCGGAAUUAUUGGGCGUAAAGCGCGCGCAGGCGGUUUCUUAAGUCUGAUGUGAAAGCCCCCGGCUCAACCGGGGAGGGUCAUUGGAAACUGGGGAACUUGAGUGCAGAAGAGGAGAGUGGAAUUCCACGUGUAGCGGUGAAAUGCGUAGAGAUGUGGAGGAACACCAGUGGCGAAGGCGACUCUCUGGUCUGUAACUGACGCUGAGGCGCGAAAGCG
RNAcentral lists this ribosomal RNA (658 nucleotides) under Bacillus sp. (in: firmicutes). Its description in RNAcentral is "bacterial SSU rRNA". It matches the Rfam family "Bacterial small subunit ribosomal RNA", at positions 119 to 761 of the family's 1533-position model. The record is from RNAcentral. Lineage: Bacteria; Bacillati; Bacillota; Bacilli; Caryophanales; Bacillaceae.